AUACAGAGGGUGCGAGCGUUAAUCGGAAUUACUGGGCGUAAAGGGUGCGUAGGUGGUUAGGUAAGUUAGAUGUGAAAGCCCCGGGCUUAACCUGGGAAUUGCGUUUAAUACUGCUUAACUAGAGUACUAUAGAGGGUGGCGGAAUUUCCGGUGUAGCGGUGAAAUGCGUAGAUAUCGGAAGGAACACCAGUGGCGAAGGCGGCCACCUGGAUAGAUACUGACACUGAGGCACGAAAGCGUGGGGAGCGAACAGGAUUAGAUACCCUGGUGGUCCUAGCAGUAAACGGUGCACACUUGCUGUAGGCGGUUCGACCCCGUCUGUGGCGUAGCUAACGUGUUAAGUGUGCCGCCUGGGGAGUACGGUCGCAAGGUUAAAACUCAAAUGAAUUGACGGGGACCCGCACAAGCAGUGGAGCAUGUGGUUUAAUUCGAAGAUACGCGCAGAACCUUACCAACACUUGACAUGUUCGUCGCGAGCCUAAGAGAUUAGGC
Molecule: ribosomal RNA, 492 nt
Filed under: uncultured Pseudomonadota bacterium
Lineage: Bacteria; Pseudomonadati; Pseudomonadota
Description: bacterial SSU rRNA
Rfam family: Bacterial small subunit ribosomal RNA
Source: RNAcentral